CGAGUUCUGAUUAUUGAAAGGUGCUUGCAUCUUGAUUUAAUUUUGAACGAGUGGCGGACGGGUGAGUAACACGUGGGUAACCUGCCCUUAAGUGGGGGAUAACAUUUGGAAACAGAUGCUAAUACCGCAUAAAUCCAAGAACCGCAUGGUUCUUGGCUGAAAGAUGGCGUAAGCUAUCGCUUUUGGAUGGACCCGCGGCGUAUUAGCUAGUUGGUGAGGUAACGGCUCACCAAGGCAAUGAUACGUAGCCGAACUGAGAGGUUGAUCGGCCACAUUGGGACUGAGACACGGCCCAAACUCCUACGGGAGGCAGCAGUAGGGAAUCUUCCACAAUGGACGCAAGUCUGAUGGAGCAACGCCGCGUGAGUGAAGAAGGCUUUCGGGUCGUAAAACUCUGUUGUUGGAGAAGAAUGGUCGGCAGAGUAACUGUUGUCGGCGUGACGGUAUCCAACCAGAAAGCCACGGCUAACUACGUGCCAGCAGCCGCGGUAAUACGUAGGUGGCAAGCGUUAUCCGGAUUUAUUGGGCGUAAAGCGAGCGCAGGCGGUUUUUUAAGUCUGAUGUGAAAGCCCUCGGCUUAACCGAGGAAGUGCAUCGGAAACUGGGAAACUUGAGUGCAGAAGAGGACAGUGGAACUCCAUGUGUAGCGGUGAAAUGCGUAGAUAUAUGGAAGAACACCAGUGGCGAAGGCGGCUGUCUGGUCUGUAACUGACGCUGAGGCUCGAAAGCAUGGGUAGCGAACAGGAUUAGAUACCCUGGUAGUCCAUGCCGUAAACGAUGAAUGCUAGGUGUUGGAGGGUUUCCGCCCUUCAGUGCCGCAGCUAACGCAUUAAGCAUUCCGCCCGGGGAGUACGACCGCAAGGUUGAAACUCAAAGGAAUUGACGGGGGCCCGCACAAGCGGUGGAGCAUGUGGUUUAAUUCGAAGCAAC
RNAcentral lists this ribosomal RNA (930 nucleotides) under Lacticaseibacillus rhamnosus. Its description in RNAcentral is "bacterial SSU rRNA". It matches the Rfam family "Bacterial small subunit ribosomal RNA", at positions 48 to 960 of the family's 1533-position model. Lineage: Bacteria; Bacillati; Bacillota; Bacilli; Lactobacillales; Lactobacillaceae. The record is from RNAcentral.